RNAcentral lists this long non-coding RNA (451 nucleotides) under Glycine max (soybean). Its description in RNAcentral is "long non-coding RNA (GMAX_LNC000339)". The record is from RNAcentral. Lineage: Eukaryota; Viridiplantae; Streptophyta; Magnoliopsida; Fabales; Fabaceae.
UUUGGGGAAUGGUUCAAAAAUAAUGCAUGGAAGGAUUCUUGGCUUUGUUGCAAAGAUAACCCUUACAUUCAGUCCCCAACCUUGGAAGGCUUCGAAGACCUUCGAGUUUGUGAGCUCAUUGAUCCUUUAGCCAGAAAUUGGAGGGAAGAUAUUAUUCAUGAUGUUUUCAAUGGUAGAGACAACAAGUUGCUGUAAUUACAAACAGCUGCAACUCAGGGAUCCCCCUCAUACAUGAAGCCGAGGCUACAACUCUCCUCUCAGCCAUCAAUUAGGCCACAAAUCUGAACCUCCACAAUAUAGUCUUUGAGACGGACUGCAAAUAUGUGUAUGACAACAUGCUUUCCACCACUAGUGCCACUAUAGAGUCUGGAUUUAUCGUUGUUUCAUGUAAAUAGAAACUGAGAUCAACUCAGAACUCAUCUUUGAGUUUAGUCCGCAGACAACCCAAUAU